CAAACACACAGGAUCUAUGGCAUUUUUUGCAGUCUGCUGUGAUAAUUCUAUUAACUAUAUUGUCGAUAUAGGAAUCAUUACCUUCGUCAUUAUUUAUUAAUGAGUUCACCCAUAUAAGGCUCAGUUGUGUUUUUUUUUUUAAUCUGUGAAUUCAGGUUGACAUGAAUGUAAAUGAGACUAUUUUUGAUUUGAUUCUUUUGUUUUAAUUUAAGUGGAUUGAAGAUGAAUAGUAAUGUCACAUAGUGUAAUAUAUGUCUUAUUUAAGUCCAGUAAGAAAGCCACCCCAGGCAUUAGGAUCAUUACAGUGAAGGAUCACCUUAUAUAUCCAGUCAAAGAAAAGAACAGGGAACACACACAGACACGCACACGUUUUCACACUGAAACAGAACAUUAUGAUGCCAUAUUUGGUGCUAGAAAAGGGAAAUCACCAUAUCUAUGAUGCAGACUGCAGUAAGACUUCUAGAUUAGCAAGAAAAGCUCUAAACCUCUCGUACCACAGGCUGCAGUGCAGCUGAAUUAACCUACCUGGUUAUCAUGCUUAGCUCCUAGCUCAUGCUGCAAAAGAUCACUGCUGUUUAUAUGCCCUGUUGCAGUUUGCCUGCAUUGUAAAGUUGUAACUAAAAUGAAUAAUCCAGUUGAACUGAAACUAAUUCUCGGAUAAACUGCUGCUCGGCCUGUGGACACCCGAACCCUUCGGAUUAACCCAAACCACAGACUAGAUAGAGUGAGAGCAAUUAAGACUAACAAGAUACUACUGAGAAAUGCAAACAUUUAGUCGGAGGUAACACUGAAACGUGACAAAGGAACGUCGUUUAUCUGGGGUCCACUGCUGAAUCUGCAAGCCUCGCUAGUAGAUUUGCUUUUUUACGGCAGCGUGCAUAUCAGUAAUGGAGAUAAAUAGGCUCACUGACCUUUGCUCUUAUCACGCAUCCGUCCAACUGCCAAUGAGAUGAAGGGCAGAUGAGAGAUUUUUAACAUAUGUCCUGGGAGCUGAGCUCAUUUCUGCCUCUGGCAAGCUGUAGGUCUCCCUCGGAAACGGAUUUACUGCCCACUGUAGACCCAGGAGGCUGCUGAAGAUGCUGUUGUUUCUUCUGUUGUUGAGUUUUUUUUGUUUGUGUCGUGUUAUUUUUGUCUGUUUUUUUUAACAAUCGGAGUACACUGAAUUUUUUUUGUCUUAAUGCACUGUGAAGCGAGGGAGAGUUUCUCUCGACCUAUGAGGUCAGGGAUGUGUGCUAUAGAUGGCAUCGUUGACUGGAUGGUUUUUUGUAUGGCAGGGAAAAAAACACACAUAUAUGAAAUAUAUGUAGAAUGCAUAUGAAGAACUUCACCGGAAAUGCACAUCAUAUCUGAAUAUUGACGGAGGUGAAAGAGACUAGGUCGAUGAAGAGGAUCAAUCAAUUGAGGUCAAUUAGAUCCUACUUACCUGUUAUCUUGGAAAAGUGUUUCGUAAUUAGGGGGCAGGAUGUUGGGGAGUGUUAGGUGUCCAGUAGUAGAUCAAAGAGACUGGAACAAAUUCUAAAUUCAAUAUCCUAUCGCAGCUGUGUCUUUCUCACGUACUGCACAUCCAACAGGCAAGUCCCUGGACAGAGAUUUAAUUCUAACAGUAGCUGAAGUAUGACGGAAUGUAAAAGGCCAAAAAUGAGGAGGGGGUGCAUUUGAUUUAUUGACCUAAAAGCCUGGUGAGGGGAGGGAACACCUCUAAGACUAAACAAACAGACCUUUUGAUUCUUUUGAAACCAAUCCGACCCAAAAUCCUCCACUGUGCUUUUGAAUGUGUCACUCUCUGUUGGAGCGCCAGUGAGGGUUUAUCUCCACAGCUUGGUAAGGAGGCUUCUUUACUCCCAUCUAACACCAUCCACACUCUCCUCACCCUCCCACCCGUCCUCAGUUUUCCAGUGCACUCCCAUCCUGACACCCCCUCUCCUCCUACCACAUCGCUCCAUGGGUGACUAUGUCUGGUGUUACGAUCAAUGCAUGUCUGCUGCUUGCCCCGACAAAUGCCACAGAUUGAGCCUCUUCUCUCUUUGCCUCCUCGGGCAGCUGAGGCUCGGGCCACCAAAUGCGACACUAUCAGAAAAUAACCACGCCCGAAGAGGAAGUCAUAGCUGGCAGGGCACAGUGCAUAAACACUCUUAUUUGUAGUUUGUACUUCAUAACAGUGACGAGAUACAUUACUAGCUUGGAAAACAUUGCACAAACACACACAUAUUUCGAGGGAAUAAUUUCUCUUUGAUAGGGUUUGACUGGAUUUUAUUGCAAAACCUCAUAAAAGAUCACAGGAAGCCAGUGUGCUUUUGCUCUGCUAUGGAAAUAUACUGUGCUGAAUGCAUUCAGUAGGCUGAUUUCCAUUUCAUUUAGAGUAAGAUUUGCCUUUUUUCUGCAGGUAGACUCAUUUAUGGACUUAAUAUCUAUUGAGCAAUUUUGGAAAAUAAUUUUAGGUUUGUUGGUCAGACAAAACAAGCAAUUUGUCACAUGUAGUUGUUUAGCGGAAACAAUAAUUACUCAGGUAAUUUAAAGAUUUUGAAUGCUAAUUAAUUGAAAGUCAUGUGGCCGUGUUUCCUCCCCCUGCUUUGGAAAGCGUGCAUGCAGCACAGUAUGUUUACAGUGGCAAAACUGCACUGAAAUUUCUUAUAUAGGUGCCAUUUGAUUUAAUACUUUAAUUCUUUUUUAUCUUAUUAAUUAAACCUUAGGAUGACUGUCUUUUACACAGCAGCUAAUCUCUUUAGUUAUCAUAACGUUAGGGGAUUGAGAUAAAAUGUGACAAGUACUAGAAGCAAUACAUGUUGUGUCGUCCCGUCCCUUAUCCUCUGUGUGCCGUAGGAGCUUUUGGAUUUACCCGUAGAUGUUGGAUAGGUUUACACGAGUAAUUUUUUUUUCAAUUUGUGGAAGAUGCUGCUAUUUAAUAAUAAUAACAAGAAAAAAAUACAAGGUAAAAACAUAUCGAAAUCUGUCCUUUAGCUGGAGAGGCUAGUUGCAAGCAGUGUAAUACACGCUCUGUUAUAAGCUGACAAUAAGUUAAUAAGAGCAUAAUUUUAACCUGAACAAGUAAAACCUGUGCCAAAACAGAACUGUAAAUGUGUUGAUUUAAAUCACAUUAGGUAAGAGGAGACAUACUUUUAUAUUAAGAAAAUGUGAAAAGUGCCAAAUGAACCAUAUUUAUAAAUCAAUACAUAGGGGGUCAGUUUUUGAGAACUAGGUACACUAACAGACAAAGCGCUUCAGUAUAGCAGUUUGUUCAAUCCCUCUUCACUCCUGCCACAAGACGAGGGACCGCCAUGUUAGCCAAGUGUUAGCCUGUCCUCUGGGAACUACUCUUCCCAGGAUGCAACAGCACUAUGACUCUGGGGCUAGAGUAUCAAUAUAGUGAUAGGUUAGCAUAAUAAUGCUAAAAAAAAAAUGUGACUAGAUAGCAUUCUUAAACACAGCCUUUUAUAGUUACGAUGAAGAUGUAUUUUGUGGAAAUAGAUGUUAUCUUUUUUGCACGUCUAUAUUGCAUGAUAUCAAAGUGAAGCGUGGACAAAAAAAAAAAAUCAAAGAAACAAAAAAAGAAAAACCAUUUAGGAAGUGUGUGUUGUUCAUUUUUCGGAGACAAAUCUUUGCAUGCCGAUAAGGGUAGAGCAUUUUGGUAUUGUUUUACACGCGUUCAGAUGUUCGUUGUUUUUCGAUGCAGUCGUGUCAAGUCCCGGUCCACCUGCUGCAGGUGAAGACGAUGUUUGAUUUCGAUGUCACGACCGAGUGAGUAUUUUGUCGCUAAGCUGUCUAACCUUCCUCAGAGGGAUACGAACAAAACUCUCGAACAAACCUAAGACUAUUUUGCUACUUGUUGAGCGAGCUUGGACUAAACGCUUCUCAGUUCCUACUUAACUUUCGAACAAUUUUUUGAAGAAAAAAAAAAUCUGGAUUUAUUUUCAAAUAAUAGACUGAGAUUGUCCAUGAAUGUACUCACCUCUCCAUAAGUUUGCAUAUCACUCUUCUGACCACUGGCGUGCAGUAGAGGCUUACAUGUGUUUUAGUGUGUCUCUGUAAUCUAACCUUACUAACCCCUCGACGCACUCUGUCAGGCUCUCAGUAUUAAUAUGUUGUCUGUCCUUUGAGCCCCCACGCUCUGAGCUCUGGCUUGUCUUGUCAUUGAAUUGCACCUUAUUGACCUCAAAUAUGACAUGGAGCAUCUCUGGUCCCGCCCCUCGUGGUCACAAGUGACUCGUAAAGAGAGACAGUGUGUGAGAAAGAGGUGAAAGAUCCCCUCCCUUACUUUUAAAUCCAAAAUAACGCACAGACACACUAUGCUGUGUGCUGCACCGCCUGCCUCCCUUGGGUGACUCGCUGCAGAAUUUGGGACAGAUUGUGUUUUCACUCCCUUAACAUGCAAUCCAAGGCUCUGAUCUCGGGGAGAGAGAGAAAAAACAGCACUGAACAUUGCCAGUGUGGGUUUUGAAUCCUGAUCCCCCUCCUCCCCUCUCUCUCUGUCUCUCUCUGUCCUAAGUUUCCCAGUUCAGUUUAAUUAGAUGCUAUUGGCUUCGGUGUCAAAUUUUUUUGUUUUUUUGCCAAAGUCUCUCUCCGGAUUUGCAGUGCGGUCAUGCUUCGUAUACUGACAGAUGUUGUCAUGGGAAGUGGCCCGCUGUUCACAAAACUAACUGAGAUGGGGAAACGAUCGGGAUUUCCAUUAUUGCUCCUCAGUGACACGUUUGCACUAAACCUUCUGCUGUUACAGUGCACGGCACGCCGAGCUGAGGUGGGGGUCAGUGUGCGAGACUACUGUAGAUGGUAGCCUUACUGUAGGUGUUCAUUCAGCAUUGUAUUUAGAUGUGCAUGCUCCUCUCUCUCUCCCGCCCUCUGAGUUUGUCUGCUUUAGGCCCGCUCCGUGGUGUCUGUGUUGCGGCGUAGCUGGCUAGCCAUGUUUUAUUCAUGUCUUAUUUUUGUUGGCUUUUGUUUUUACUGUAACGUGUAGAGGAAUGCAAACUCAAUUCUAACCUGCUCGCCAGGUGACCUCAUUGCUUCUCAGUGGGUGUGUGGCUCUCCGACAUAGUCCCCAGCUCUUGUUCUCUGCCCCCCGCCUACCCUCCACCGCCACGCCUACCUCCACAAACCCACUCUCACCCACACCCACCACCUUUUCAAAACAACAUCUAAGACAUCUUUUGGGACCCCGCUCCCCACCCCCUUUUCCACCCUUCUUCCUCCCCCAACUCGGGCCCCAUCGAAGCACCAGCAACGGUAGACUGCAUUUGUCAUAUCACUGUUUUUCUGUUCCUUCUCUCGUUUCUCUGUUUAUUUUUUUCCUGGUUUUGAUUUGUACUGUAUGCUCUAACCCAAACCAGUUUUAACAAAAUGCCAUUUUCUGUAUGUAGCCUGUUUACCCUACUCCACCCCCCCCCCCCCCUACACACACACACACACACACACAAACACAAUAUCCUCCAUGCCCUCUUUUUUUGCACUUUCACUGCCCACUCCUCCUCCUCGCCCAAACAUACACACACUUUCCUCCUCCGCCUCCCACGAGUCUCUUCUCUCGAGUGCCAAAAUAGAACAGAGAGGGAAAAAAAGCAAAACAAAACAAAAAAAAAGACAACAACAACAACUACUACUACCAUUCCAAGCGUUUCUUUGAGUUGUUCUUGUGUGUCGGACAUCCAUCCUGGAAGCACCCAUGAAGCCAGCAUGCUCCGCCCUCAUAACAUGAUGUCGCUCAUGACGCCUCAACUGAACAGCACCUUGCCCCCCACCACCACCACCUCCUCCUCCUCCUCCUCCUCCUCCUCACCACCCCCACAGAGCUAAACCCGACAAGGAUUAACCCUUCUGCAGGUUGGCUACCUACCUACUGUCCUGCCUCUCAACCUACCUUAAAAAAAAAGCCCUACCGCUCAUGCCAGCUGCUUUCCUAAUUCUGUCAUUUCUUCAGCCUGUGGGACUUCAUUGAUUGUGUGCCAUAGUGUUGGGGGCACCUUUCACUCUCCUCACCUCCCCCUUCUUUCUAUACCCCCACCCCACCUUUCUCUCUCUCUCUCUCUCUAUAACCCCUCUCGCUCUCGCUCCAUUUGAUUUUUCUCGAUGGGAAAGAUUAAAAAAAAACCUCCAUUUUCUAAUGAUGAUUUUUUUUGUUGUUGUUUAACAUCCAAACCACGCACGCCGACACAUGCACCGCCCCCAGUGCAGUGGUGUGGGGAGUGUUUACGCACCGUCAGCUGCGCAGCCAUCCUCUGUCUUCUUGAACUUUUUGAACUUUCACCCCCUCAUGAACUUUAUUGACCUUCUUCCUCCUCCUCCUACCCCCCUUCUGUGUUCAUCCAACUGUUUGGACGAUAACUCUCCAUUCCAUCCCCAAAACCUCUCUGAGACUGUGCAAUGCUAGCUGAUAUGAUUGGAUUUUUUUGUUUGUUUGUUUGUUGCUCACCAUUGGGGACAGUUCUCGGAGCUAUAAGUCAAAAAAGAACAAAAAAAAACAUAUGAAAGGAAGAAAAAAAUAUUUUAAAAAAUGCAGACAAACAAAAAAAGGAUAAAACACUAAACAAUUGUUUCUCCACAAUUUCAUUUUUUUUCUCUCUCAUUGUAAAUAUUUUUGUCAGAUUUUUUGCCGAGGUGUAAAGAGAGAAGUGUUGAGCAGAAAGGGGCGGGCAGCAUAAAGAGAAACUAGUGGACGCGGUAGACGAUCGUAACACUUUUCAUCCUCUGUAUCCGAUACUUAGGUCUGCCUGUAUAAUCGGCUAUGCUAGUUCUACUGUGUUAACCUGUGCUGUUGUUAUUAGUGUUGAUUUACCUACUGUAUUCGCUGUUUAGCGUUCAUGUCGGCUAGCCAACUUUUUAGAUAAGUGUGCUCAUCAAAUAAUAAUACUAAUCUUGAGAAAUAGUCCGAGCCAUUCUCAACGUAGGCUUGCUUUUGUACAUUUGUUGAUGUUUCUUAACAGUGAGUUGUAGUGGCACUAGUAUCUUUUUAAUCAUCAAGCCAUAGUGAUUGAAAACGCUUGGUCAUGUUAGAGACAUAUCAUCGUGGAAGACGGCUCGACUCAGCUCCUCCAAGUCGGAGAAAGAAAAACAAAAACAGGGAGGCGGAGGCGGAAAAUUGAAAAACAAAAGAAGAAGAAAUUAAGCUUCUCCCGGGCUACAAAAUGAGGAAGAUGAGCUGCUAACUUUUGUGCAAUACAGUCCUAGUUUACAUAACAUAGAAGGAUAGUUUAGAGAUGAUUAACCUCUGCAGGUGCCGCUCAACCACUCCGCUGCCUGCAGAACCAAACUUGUAUCAUAUCUCCAUAUUUCGCCUCCACAUCAAAGACAUGUUGAAACUAUUAAAGUGACUGUGUGAGAUUAGACUCCACCAUUUCAUUGCAUUGCUCUGAGCUCCACUCUUGAUUUAUGCUGCCUGCCCCAUUGCCUUGAGAACACCACAUGAGCUAUUUAUUUCUCAGACUAUUAUUAUACUAUUAAUAAAUAACAACACAACGAGAAAAAGGGAACGACUGGAAAAAGGUGAAUUAAUAUUAUAAUUGUUUUGUUUUUAUUUUUAGUAUUUAGUGGUUGCUUUUAACAACAUUCAUUAACUGACUUAAAGAUUACUGAAUAUUUAAUGUAAUUGUAGCAUUGUGUUUGUAAAGAGAAAAAAACCUAGUGAGUUGUGUUUCUUGACUUGUGGAUUACCAGUGAAGUGGGCAAUCUAGUGCUAAUAUAUAUGAGGUCUUUUUUUAAGGAUUCUUAUUUUGCGACAGCAACAGCAGUCAUUAUAAAUGUUCAUUUUAGCAUCACCUGUCUUCCGUUGUCUUAUUCUUCACCUUCCACCACACUCUGCAUCAUCACAGUAACACAUCGCAAGUCUGAGGGUGGGGACCGAAUGUGUGUUUGGGCGAAUCGAGGUGCGCGCGCGAGGGUGUGUGUGAGCAGCGUGUGUCGUGAAUGUGCGUUAGUUAACGAACCUGUGUUUAUUUGUGUGUCUAUGCAAAAUAUGGUGCACAUGUGCUUGUAUCUUGCGUGUCUGUCUGCUCACACGUGCGAAUCUGCGUGCGUCUGCGUGGAUGUGUGUGUGUGUGCGAUUGUUGGGUCUGUGAGGGGGGGUUCGGGGUGGGUGUUGUGUCCAGUGUCCACCAAAAGCUAAAACUUGUCAGGCUUCCAUACUUCCUGAUGGAACCUCCUGACGUUAUAGCUGCAAACCCUCAUCAUGUGAUCUGACUCAACUCGACUGUCCAUAACCCCUUCAGUCACCUGACCAACCAAAUCAACCAAUCACUGUCCACCACUACCGCCUUCCCCCUGCGCCAUCCUUUGCUGCACACCACGUCAGCCCCAUGUGAUGUUCUCCAUUGAUAACAUACUACUGUCACAAUCUACUGUUACAUGCUGACAGAUCUGGGGAUAAAUACGCUUGCUUUCGUUCAUUCGAGGUGUUUUCACCUUUGAGAUUAUUACUAAGCGCUCCUUAAAUCAAGGCAAGUGUCCCUCAGGUUGUUUGACUUUUAAAGGAUCAGUUCACCCAUAUUUAAUGUUUUCCCAACAAGUGCAAUAUCUGUCAAUAAUUUAUGCUCCAAAACGCUGGAGGUGAAUGGAGUUAAGUCCGUGGUGGUGCUCACAGCAUUAAAAAUGCAUAUGUAAAUUUAAUUCACAUUUGUGUGCAUAUAUUUCUGAGGAAACCACAGCCCUCGCUGCAAACAGCUUUGCUGUAGUUUCUGGGACUGAUAAGUCAAAACACCACGUGAGUCAAAAAGACAGGUGCUGUCUAACCAUCUAAAAAAAUUUGAAUGUGACUUGAACAGUUUGGGAGAUUUUAGCUGUACAGAAGUCAGAUUUCUCUUAAAUAAUAAUGAAGGAGAUAGGCUACAUUUACCAAAUAACAGCAAUGCCCUUCUCUGUUAUAUAAGAAACUCCUUGUGAAUAAUUUUAUGUAGAAAGUAUUUUCUCUCUGCCAAACUACACCUGCUAACUGUGGAAGGAAACGUGCAUCUACCUGUGACAAGACAGCUGAGCUGUGAUGAUGGUUAGCUACAUGUUUCCUUUAAGUGGCAGAUAUAGUUCCAUAGAAGCGAAAUAAAAAUUACAUCAAAGAUAAUAAAGAUAAUUUUUUGUUUGUUUUUUAGUAAUCUUUUCAAACUCUAAGAAAAUAGCACUCGACAAGUACAAAUUUGGAUUUAUAACUUGAAAUGUUGAGAUGAUAACCCAGCCUUACAAAAAUAAAUAAAUCAGCAACUUAAACAGGCUUCAGUAGUUACUGCUGUGGUGUCAUCCAAUCAUGUUUUUUGGUUCCUUGAUCACCACAGCCCGGGUCCCGCAUAGUUUUAUUACACCGAAAAGCUGGUAUCUCCAAAAUUGGGCAGCUUACACCAAAUAAAUCGAGAUGGAUAAAUAACUCUAUGGCCCAAAAUGUCAAUUUGAUUUUGAGAAGAACUGUACCUCUAAGUAAGAAACUAUUUCUUGGAUAGCUUGGAUGAACUGACCCGUUAAUCAGCCUGAGGUGGACUUGUUCUGUUUAAUUUCUUCAGCGUCAUUUAAUGAAAUUUAGUUUGUUUUCCCCAGAACUGCAUAUUACAUUUCUACUGUUCAUACUACUGUACGUGCUGCAUACUACCUUACCAGGUCAGAAUCCACCUUAACCUGUCUCCAUGCCAACCACAGAGGAGCCAGUUGCAUGGCAACCGGCUUCCGCCACAACAAAACAACCUACCAACCAGCCAUCUUUCUCAACUGAUGAGGCCACGCCCACCUGACUAUGAUCGCUCCGUAGAAGAAGAGAUAGAGGAAGAGAGAGGAUAGGAAGAAGGGAUGACAGAUGAAAGAGAUGUAGUUGUGAUUCUCAGGGUGUCUUAUAUAGAUCUACUGUUUAGUCUGUUCUCCAGUCUCUCACUGGUGUCCUGUUGCCCCUAACUGAGCCCAAAGACGAUCAUGUCCUCCUCUGAUAAAGUCCUUGUUUGAUUGACUACUGACUAAUUCCUCUCCAUCAGUUGAUUGAUAGUAUUGAUUGACCAAUUCUCUUGAGAGCUUGAGCUGAAAGGAGCUCAGCACUGUAACUAAUGUUUACAACCCAAAUGAGACCAACAACGCUGUUGAAAGAAUGUCUAGGACUUAAAAAAAAAGGGAAAAAAAAGAAAAAAAGAGAGACAAAUCUCUGAAGAGUACUUAUUUCUAAAUGAUGGAACUUUUCGCUUACUUUCUAUGUGACAUGAGGUAAUGUAAUUUUUUUCAGUCAUUGCAUGUGACUAUUUUUAUUUGCAAUGAAACUGUUAGAAUGGAUGGUACAUUUGUGACGUCAGUGCAACGUUCAGACACCGACGCUAGAAGUCAGCCGGUGUCUACUAAGUGUUUUCAUGUCGCCGUGAGGAGUGCUUAUGGACCAAUGAAUGCUAAAUGUGUGACCAUACAAAGCUGUAAAGGUUUUGUUUAUUUGUACAUGGUUAUGGGUAAAAUAAACCAUUGAAGCAAAUUAACAUCUUUAGUCUUAAGGAGUAAGCCCUCACACGUUUAUUUGUAAAGUCAGUGCCGAGAAAGGUACUUUGGAUAAUGCAGUCGAGGUAAGUUUCAACAGUUAAAGCUGGUGAUGUGCUUCCAUUCAAACACUCGGAGGGCUCGAUGUAGUUGUGUCAAAGUGUUAGAGAGGGUCAAGAACGAAAGAAAAUCAGGGUUCGAUCCACUUCCACACAUCACCAUCCUCCCUACGACAGGCAUCACAAUCAAGAAGGGGUGAGCUUCAACUCUCUGACAUAUCCAUCUACCCACAAUCCUCCUGUGCACCAGAGUCAUCCGAUCAACAAACACCUGCACCCCCGCAUCCACCAUGUCAGCUCCUGUGACCUCUGGCCAAAUCGUCUCAGCCCUCUCCAUGCCAUCGGCUAAGUGGCUAGUGGCUUUUUGAGCUGUUGUUGCAAAGCCUCCUGGGAAAUGGAGUCACAAACAAUUCACAGCAUGGUCUGACCAACCUCUUGUCACUCUCCUCCCACACACCUUUCUCCAUACGCCACUAAAGAAGUUCCUCCGGCUUCCAGCGAGAAGGUCAUGCCAUUUUGUUCCUGAUGGGUUAGGUCGCCACAAACAAGAACAUAUACGGGCUUUCCGGGCAGCUAAAAAUACAAUAUGGAAAAAAUGG
Long non-coding RNA from Astatotilapia calliptera (eastern happy), 11062 nucleotides. Lineage: Eukaryota; Metazoa; Chordata; Actinopteri; Cichliformes; Cichlidae. The record is from Ensembl.